This 468-nucleotide ribosomal RNA is filed under the name uncultured bacterium. RNAcentral describes it as "partial 16S ribosomal RNA". It matches the Rfam family "Bacterial small subunit ribosomal RNA", at positions 28 to 507 of the family's 1533-position model. The record is from RNAcentral.
GACGAACGCUGGCGGCGUGCUUAACACAUGCAAGUCGAACGGAAAGGCCCUGCUUUUGUGGGGUGCUCGAGUGGCGAACGGGUGAGUAACACGUGAGUAACCUGCCCUUGACUUUGGGAUAACUUCAGGAAACUGGGGCUAAUACCGGAUAGGAGCUCCUGCUGCAUGGUGGGGGUUGGAAAGUUUCUGCGGUUGGGGAGGGACUCGCGGCUUAUCAGCUUGUUGGUGGGGUAGUGGCUUACCAAGGCUUUGACGGGUAGCCGGCCUGAGAGGGUGACCGGCCACAUUGGGACUGAGAUACGGCCCAGACUCCUACGGGAGGCAGCAGUGGGGAAUAUUGCACAAUGGGCGGAAGCCUGAUGCAGCAACGCCGCGUGCGGGAUGACGGCCUUCGGGUUGUAAACCGCUUUCGCCUGUGACGAAGCGUGAGUGACGGUAAUGGGUAAAGAAGCACCGGCUAACUACGUG